Molecule: long non-coding RNA, 1788 nt
Filed under: Chinchilla lanigera (long-tailed chinchilla)
Lineage: Eukaryota; Metazoa; Chordata; Mammalia; Rodentia; Chinchillidae
Description: lncRNA (ENSCLAG00000027449.1)
Source: RNAcentral
GUGCAAGGGCAGACCUGAGAAGCACUGUGCAAGAGAGUGGGCUACUGAGAGCAGAUGACUGGGUGGGCUUAGCUGCACUGCAGGGUAUGAGUGUGCUAGCUGGCUGUCUGAAGAGGAGAGGGUGAAGGAAAUAUGGCGGGAAGAACGCCCCCCUCCAUCCUCGCCGCAGCCCACCCAGCCGCGGAAUCGCAUGCGCACUGGGGACCUGGAGGAAAGGGCUUUUGUUGGGAAAUCCGGCCGACCAGAGGGGUCCGCGCAUGCGCAGGCUCCCCAGCCGCGGGGGGUGCGCGGAGAAAAGGGGCGGGGUGGUCCGAGCUGCUGUGCUGGCAGCAGUAGGCGAGGGCGCGGCUGCGGGGUUCCUGGUGCUGAGCACGGACGCCAUUGGAGCCCCAGGGAAGGACCCCCAGCACCGCGACCGUCAGACUCAAGCGCCCCUGUCCCAGCCGGGAGCUGCCCGGGUGCCUGCCAGCUCAACCGUUGUGACAGACCCUGAGCCGAGUGAGCUUCCUGAGAUCCCAGGCCCCACCCCCACCGCAUCAGUCCUAGACUACUCCAGCUGAGCUGACCGCUUGCGCCUUCCUGGAGUCCCAGUCCUUGGACCUUGAGCUGUCCAGGCAGCCAGUUCAAGCCCUACCUAGGUCCAAGGCUCCCAUCCUCUGAGCCCAACCUAGACCACAGUCAGAGAAACAGCCUGCCACCGGGUCCCGCCCCCUGCCCCUGAGGCAGAGCUCUCAGCUCCCUGGGAGCCCCAGCAUGGCUGAGGGAAGCUACAGUGUGCAAUCUGGAAACUCCAGUGUCGAAGACAUGGAUGAGGGGAGCCACCAAGUCAGGGUGGCAGAGAUGGUUGGAGGCAGCGACUAUGAAGAGUUUGGUGCCUUUGGUGGCUAUGGCACACUCACCAGCUUUGACAUCCAUCUGCUCAGAGCCUUUGACACCUUGGGUUCCGGCUUUCACAUCUUAGCGAAUGAGCCCUGGGAGCUGGAAAGUCCUGUGCUGGCUCAGACCCUGGUGGAGGCAUUGCAGCUGGAUCCAGAAACCCUUGCCAAUGAGACCGAGGCCCAUGCCGCCAGUGUCGCCCGCUCUGCCGCCUCCAACCGAGCCGCUCGGGCCGCUGCCGCUGCCGCCCGCAGGUCCAUCCGUCAGGUGGUGGCUCACCACAUGGUGCCCACACAGCCGGCCACAGGAGACGGUGCCCAGCCUGGGACAUACUCUGAGGCUCAGGGGCCCGCCCCGGAGGCAAUCCUGGUCUCACCUCCGACAUCCCAGAUGUCAGUCGUCAGUGAGAUGGCCGCCCCUGGGGCUCCAGCAGUCUCCACGCAUUCCCAGACGGCCUCCCUGGACCAGGCGGCUGCUGCCAGGGGUCCAAGUACUGCCUGUGCUGGGGGUCCUAGUCCCGCCUGUGCCGAGGGUCCCAGUACUGCCUGUGCCGAGGGUCCUAGUACUGCCUGUGCUUUCUCUCAGGCUCCAAGUGCCAGUGAAACGGAUGCCACCUGGCCCCAGGCAGGCUUCCUGGGCCAGAAGGAUGUCUUUGAUUUCACUCAGCCAGCAGGUGUCAGUGGCAUGGCCUUCACCCGCCCCAAGAGACCUGCUCCAGCCCAAGAGGCCGCCACGGAGGACCCUAGUGCCGCCUCUGGUGGGCCUCAGGCAGCACCUGCCCGGGAAGCGGCAGCCACCGGACCCAAGAACACCAAAUCUGGGAAGGCUGUGGCCAAGACUCGGUGGGUGGAGCCUCAGAAGGUUGUGACCUCAGCGGCUGCCAACAGCAAGACGGCCACAAGCAUCCCUGAG